RNAcentral lists this ribosomal RNA (253 nucleotides) under uncultured bacterium. RNAcentral describes it as "partial 16S ribosomal RNA". It matches the Rfam family "Bacterial small subunit ribosomal RNA", at positions 524 to 776 of the family's 1533-position model. The record is from RNAcentral.
GACGUAGGGCGCAAGCGUUGUCCGGAUUUAUUGGGCGUAAAGAGCUCGUAGGCGGCUUGUCGCGUCGACUGUGAAACACCACGACUCGACCGUGGGACUGCAGUCGAUACGGGCAGGCUAGAGUUCGGUAGGGGAGACUGGAAUUCCUGGUGUAGCGGUGGAAUGCGCAGAUAUCAGGAGGAACACCAAUGGCGAAGGCAGAUCUCUGGGCCGUAACUGACGCUGAGGAGCGAAAGCAUGGGGAGCGAACAGG